This 153-nucleotide small RNA is filed under the name Xylanimonas cellulosilytica. RNAcentral's name for it is "c-di-AMP sequence". It matches the Rfam family "c-di-AMP riboswitch aptamer (ydaO/yuaA leader)". From Rfam's summary of the family: This family represents a conserved RNA structure found upstream of the ydaO and yuaA genes in Bacillus subtilis and related genes in other bacteria. Lineage: Bacteria; Bacillati; Actinomycetota; Actinomycetes; Micrococcales; Promicromonosporaceae. RNAcentral also lists the same sequence under 1 other name. The record is from RNAcentral.
CGUGGUCACGCACUGACCUGAUGACAGGGACGGGGGACCCAUCUUCGGGUUCCGCUCGCGGAGCCCUUGGGGUGAAGCCGGAUGUUCCAUCCGGCCGGGUACUUCUCCUACCCGAACCCGACAGCUCACCUCGCAGGCGCAAGGAGAGGGACC